GAUGGAAGCAGCUGCCAUGGCUGCUGCUGUUUCCCCAGCGAGAUCAGAUCCAGGGCGGCUUGGAUCGAUCCUGUAAGCAGUUCUUGAAGUAGUCAUGUCCUCUGGUCUUUGCCAACAAUAAUGAUCUGUGGUCUGGACAGACAGUAUGUACAAAGUUAAAAGUAGGAAAAGGAGUUUGUAGCAGAAUAGUCACUGUUCCCAUUGGUCUAAAUUGAUUGACGUUUUGCCAACGAGGCCAUGUGGUAAAACUUCUAAUACGGCCAAAACUUAGAAAGGCUAAAGCAUCCAUGUAACUGUACGUGGACAUAGUUUAUUUAUUUGUCUAUGUCAAUGGGUACUUUAUAUCGUAAAUACAAAAAGACUAGGGAGUUCUACACUUGUCAA
Long non-coding RNA from Capsicum annuum, 384 nucleotides. RefSeq lists it as uncharacterized. NCBI's taxonomy places the organism in Eukaryota, Viridiplantae, Streptophyta, Magnoliopsida, Solanales, Solanaceae. The record is from RefSeq and is a predicted model, not a curated record. The transcript has 2 exons.